AGAGCAGCGGUUCCUGGAGUCCGCUGGUUCUCGGUUCAAGCCCGAGCCCUGGUUGAGAGGGGGAGUGUGUGGUCUGUAGAGAGACAUGAGUUGAUCGGCAGACCCCCUCUCCCCCUCUUUCCCUCUUUACGAAGUAGCGAACCUCUGCUCACUGCCCGGGCCCUCCGGGAGGUGAGCAGGAGUUGCGCUUUUCUUUCUCUGUUUUGUUUUUGCCAUACCCAAGUCUAUUGGCACGCUGCCAAUCUCACCCUGACAGCUGUCAGGGGUUACAUGAGAGAACUUCAUGUAACCCCUGACAGCUGUCAACCUAAUCCUGACCGUGAGAACUUUUCAGACUCAUAUCGAAAAUGGGUAACAACUCUGAAGGAACUGUGUCUUUUUACAGCGUCGGGGUAGCUCAAAUGGUAGAGUGGCAGGCCAACAUAGCCAGCAGAUCUCGGUUCAAACCCGAGCCCUGACCAUCGAGGAGCACGUGUUAUUCUAGACCUCUCUUCCAGCUAAGAUAGCAUGUGCCGUCCUCUUUGUUUCCCAAGUCAGUAUUCAAGCGCAGACCAUCGCUGCCUGGUGGCUCAGCUACCGUGGAGUGUUUCCUCCCCAUCACCCCGUCAUAAGAGUAUGCAAAUCACAGUCAGUGAAAGCAAGCUCUAAAGCUCUGGUCUGCUGAUUGCCCCUCCGUCGGGGUAGCUCAAUUGGUAGAGCGGCAGGCUCAUCCCCUGCAGGUUCUCGGUUCAAUCCCGGGUCCCGACGCAGAGUUGAGAUCGGGUCGUCUCCCCCUGGCGGAAGGAGGCAAACCCGAGCUCCUCCUUCUUUUCAACCACCUCCCACAAUUUCAGAGUCUUAGCCAGAUUAUCUGAAACUGUGUGAGGUGGUUUUUUCUUUUCCCAGACCCCCAGAUGUCCCAAGUCUUUUUCUUUUGGUGGAAACGCUUGCGAUGGUCUAAACUCUUCGACCCACCCAGUGCCUUUCAAGCAGCGCACAGCCGCUUAUGUACCCAGAAGACCAUGUCUGGGAAUUCCCCAAUGACGCCAAAGUCUAAGUCCCUGUACAGGCUUAACUUUUUUAGAAUUCCCUAAAACACUUGCCAGGGUAGCUCAAUUGGUAGAGCAUCAGGCUAGUAUCCUGUCGGUUCCGGUUCAAGUCCGGGCCCUGGUUAAAGGUGGAGGUGCGGUAACCUCCUAAGAUUACUGUUGGGAUAUCGCGCCCACCUUUAUUGUAAGGGUACUCUCAUCACCAAUGUAAAUUAAUAUGUAGCAAACUUUGGUGUGGGAGUCCUACCCCUUUUGCUCCACAGGCCGCCCACGACCAUCUAGCCUCCCACCAAAACAAGAACAGUUGCAGCUUUUGCUGUUUUCCUUAAUAUUUAUCUUUGUGGUGUUCAGUCAGGCCUUGCUCUCAGUUUCUAUGCCCCCAGGCUGGUUUCAAACACUGGUCAGAAGGCUAUCUUUCUUGGUGGUUUCACUUCUAAACAUGGGCCAUUAAAAGGGAGGGAAUUGGCAUCAUUGAGCAGCGGCGACCAUGCAGCUGGCCACCUUAUGCCUUCUUUCCUGCAUACUGGGCCAAAGCAUAGCUCACUGGCCAUCUGUGGUCAACAUUGAAACCUACCCAUUUCCUGAGGAUGAUACCAAGGAGGAUAUGAGGGACUACUUGUUUCUGGUGCAGAACUGUCUCCUGCAGGACAACUUUAAUGCCACAUAUUGUUCUGAUUCCUUCGAGAAGCUGGAUAAAAGAAGUCAUUUUACCCUACCAGACACCUGCAAUGUCAAGACCACCUUCCUGGUAAACUACAACAGGCAUAAAUAUGGCAUCUUUAAAUUUGAAAGUAGACUCCCACUACCCACCAUGGCUUCUGCCACCUCAGGAAGGGUCAUCAAGGUGUUGGUUCUGGCUGAGGCUGGCCGGCCCUGGAAACGCCACUGGGCCAACCUGGCCAUGGUUACAUACUCUAAUGUGGUUCGACUCACAGACUUUAAUGCUAAAUUUAGAACCAGGUUCUCCAGGAUCUGGUCAGUCACUCUAGAUCGCCACGAAGUCGAUCUGGAUCUCACCUUUGCUGGAUUCUUAUUUGCAGCGCCAGAGAGCGUGCAGCUGACCCUGCUUAUGGAUUAUGUUCCCACAUUUACCUGGUGUGGUCAAAUAUCUCUCAACGACCCUGAUCUGCCAGUGCCAUCGUUUCAAGCCAUCAGAACCUUACCAGUCAUGUGUUUCCCCAUGUGGAGGUAUCUUAAUGGGCAAGACUUUCAUCAUCAAGAUGGGUGCCACCAAGAAUCCAAGUGGUGGAAUCCUACCCAUAUCAUCCCAAGACUGAACCCGGGUACAGAAUCCCAUAAUAUAACACUGAACACUUGUGUAUGUCACGUGAAGUAUAACGACCUGCAAGAACUAGACACCGCCCACAGGAUCAAGAUUCUAACAAUAUCCAAUUUUUUUGGCUUCUACAAACCACUGUAUGUCCUAGUAACAUAUUUUGGUUCAUCUGAUGUUAAUGUUGAAGGGCAGGCCCCACCGCUACAAUACUGCGUGGUCUUUAUACAUAGAGGAAAUUAUGGCUUCUUUAGAACCCGACAACGGGGAGACCCCGACUGCCCUUGUCACUUUUCUUUGGGGAGGGACGAGAUUGUGCUAGUUGGCCAUUAUGUGGACGUGAAGAGAAUUGUAGGUAUCACUAUAUUUUUUGAUGGGCAAGAACACAGGAUCUCUUACCUGGGAAAACUCUCCAGAGCUGCUGUCGUGGGGGAUGAUACAACCAACAAAAUUAUUUUUCCUGGGCAGCAGUCCUAAGCCUGAAUACAUGUUUACUGGGGACCAGAUGUAAAGCCACCACUUCCCACUGUACAUUAUUAUGCAAAUAAACUCAGUGCG
RNAcentral lists this transfer RNA (2859 nucleotides) under synthetic construct. RNAcentral's name for it is "M1". The stretch from base 1081 to 1152 matches the Rfam family "tRNA". The record is from RNAcentral.